Molecule: ribosomal RNA, 497 nt
Filed under: uncultured bacterium
Lineage: Bacteria
Description: partial 16S ribosomal RNA
Rfam family: Bacterial small subunit ribosomal RNA
Source: RNAcentral
GAUGAACGCUGCCGGCGUGCCUAAUACAUGCAAGUCGAGCGAACAGACGAGGAGCUUGCUCCUCUGACGUUAGCGGCGGACGGGUGAGUAACACGUGGAUAACCUACCUAUAAGACUGGGAUAACUUCGGGAAACCGGAGCUAAUACCGGAUAAUAUAUUGAACCGCAUGGUUCAAUAGUGAAAGACGGUUUUGCUGUCACUUAUAGAUGGAUCCGCGCCGCAUUAGCUAGUUGGUAAGGUAACGGCUUACCAAGGCAACGAUGCGUAGCCGACCUGAGAGGGUGAUCGGCCACACUGGAACUGAGACACGGUCCAGACUCCUACGGGAGGCAGCAGUAGGGAAUCUUCCGCAAUGGGCGAAAGCCUGACGGAGCAACGCCGCGUGAGUGAUGAAGGUCUUCGGAUCGUAAAACUCUGUUAUUAGGGAAGAACAAAUGUGUAAGUAACUAUGCACGUCUUGACGGUACCUAAUCAGAAAGCCACGGCUAACUACGUG